GAUAGUCCCGUAUGCGAAAAACAAAGCUUAGCUAGCAGUAUCCUGAGUAGGGCGGGACACGAGGAAUCCUGUCUGAAUCCGGGUCGACCACGAUCCAACCCUAAAUACUAAUACCAGAUCGAUAGUGCACAAGUACCGUGAGGGAAAGGUGAAAAGAACUGAGGUGAUCAGAGUGAAAUAGAACCUGAAACCAUUUGCUUACAAUCAUUCAGAGCCCUAUGUAGCAAUACAGGGUGAUGGACUGCCUUUUGCAUAAUGAGCCUGCGAGUUGUGGUGUCUGGCAAGGUUAAGCAAACGCGAAGCCGUAGCGAAAGCGAGUCUGAAUAGGGCGCUUAGUCAGAUGCUGCAGACCCGAAACGAAGUGAUCUAUCCAUGAGCAAGUUGAAGCUAGUGUAAGAACUAGUGGAGGACUGAACCCAUAGGCGUUGAAAAGCCCCGGGAUGACUUGUGGAUAGGGGUGAAAGGCCAAUCAAACUUCGUGAUAGCUGGUUCUCUCCGAAAUAUAUUUAGGUAUAGCGUUGUGUCGUAAUAUAAGGGGGUAGAGCACUGAAUGGGCUAGGGCAUACACCAAUGUACCAAACCCUAUCAAACUCCGAAUACCUUAUAUGUAAUCACAGCAGUCAGGCGGCGAGUGAUAAAAUCCGUCGUCAAGAGGGAAACAACCCAGACUACCAGCUAAGGUCCCUAAAUCUUACUUAAGUGGAAAACGAUGUGAAGUUACUUAAACAACCAGGAGGUUGGCUUAGAAGCAGCCAUCCUUUAAAGAAAGCGUAAUAGCUCACUGGUCUAGUGAUUUUGCGCGGAAAAUAUAACGGGGCUAAAGUAAGUACCGAAGCUGUAGACUU
Molecule: ribosomal RNA, 845 nt
Filed under: Campylobacter jejuni
Lineage: Bacteria; Pseudomonadati; Campylobacterota; Epsilonproteobacteria; Campylobacterales; Campylobacteraceae
Description: bacterial LSU rRNA
Rfam family: Bacterial large subunit ribosomal RNA
Source: RNAcentral